This 65-nucleotide transfer RNA is filed under the name Dipodomys ordii (Ord's kangaroo rat). It matches the Rfam family "tRNA". From Rfam's summary of the family: Transfer RNA (tRNA) molecules are approximately 80 nucleotides in length. Their secondary structure includes four short double-helical elements and three loops (D, anti-codon, and T loops). The record is from Rfam by way of RNAcentral. Lineage: Eukaryota; Metazoa; Chordata; Mammalia; Rodentia; Heteromyidae.
GGUGGCUCAGUGGUAAAGCACUUGCCUUGCAUGCAUGAGGCCCUGGGUUCGAUUCCUUAGCACCA